UCUGGCCGAUCUCGCCGACAGGAUCGACGAGAUUGCCACUGGAAUACCGGAGCCCACGGUGAAUUCCUGACAUGCCAUCCUUGAGGCAACCCCGCUUGACCGCGCGGCGCUGGGCGGCGGGCGAAUGUGACGCGCCUCUUUUCCGGGAUGAACCAUGACCGCUUACGACACCAACAAUAUUUUCGCGAAAAUCCUGCGCGGCGAAAUUCCCUGUCACAAAGUCUAUGA
This 228-nucleotide unclassified non-coding RNA is filed under the name Hevea brasiliensis (rubber tree). Lineage: Eukaryota; Viridiplantae; Streptophyta; Magnoliopsida; Malpighiales; Euphorbiaceae. The record is from RNAcentral.